CCUCGGGUGGCUGCAGUAAGGAAUAUUGGUCAAUGGACGAAAGUCUGAACCAGCCAUGCCGCGUGGAGGAUGAAGGUCCUCUGGAUUGUAAACUUCUUUUAUAUGGGACGAAAAAAGGCCUUUCCAGGUCGUCUGACGGUACCAUAUGAAUAAGCACCGGCUAACUCCGUGCCAGCAGCCGCGGUAAUACGGAGGGUGCAAGCGUUAUCCGGAUUCACUGGGUGCGAAGGGGGGGUGGGUGGGUUGGGGUGAAAGCCCCGAGCUUAACUUGGGAACUGCCAUUGAUACUAUCAGUCUUGAAUACCGUGGAGGUCAGCGGAAUAUGUCAUGUAGCGGUGAAAUGCUUAGAUAUGACAUAGAACACCAAUUGCGAAGGCAGCUGGCUACACGAGUAUUGACACUGAGGCACGAAAGCGUGGGGAUCAAACAGGAUUAGAUACCCCAGUAGUC
RNAcentral lists this ribosomal RNA (450 nucleotides) under uncultured bacterium. Its description in RNAcentral is "partial 16S ribosomal RNA". It matches the Rfam family "Bacterial small subunit ribosomal RNA", at positions 339 to 795 of the family's 1533-position model. The record is from RNAcentral.